UACGGAGGGGGCUAGCGUUGUUCGGAAUUACUGGGCGUAAAGCGCGCGUAGGCGGCUUGGAAAGUUGGAUGUGAAAUCCCGGGGCUCAACCCCGGAACUGCAUACAAAACUUCCUGGCUAGAGACUUAGAGAGGUGGGCGGAAUUCCGAGUGUAGAGGUGAAAUUCGUAGAUAUUCGGAAGAACACCGGUUGCGAAGGCGGCUCACUGGCUAAGUUCUGACGCUGAGGUGCGAAAGCGUGGGGAGCAAACAGG
RNAcentral lists this ribosomal RNA (253 nucleotides) under uncultured bacterium. RNAcentral describes it as "partial 16S ribosomal RNA". It matches the Rfam family "Bacterial small subunit ribosomal RNA", at positions 524 to 776 of the family's 1533-position model. The record is from RNAcentral.